Molecule: ribosomal RNA, 785 nt
Filed under: Triticum aestivum (bread wheat)
Lineage: Eukaryota; Viridiplantae; Streptophyta; Magnoliopsida; Poales; Poaceae
Description: partial small subunit ribosomal RNA
Source: RNAcentral
UAUAUCACAUUUGGGUACAAUCAGAUUCCCUUGACUGACAUACAACUAUUUCAUUGGUCUUUCCCCGAAUUUUUACCUAUUCAUCUGUGCUUAUGUUUAAAGAUCGAGUAUCCAUCUGCUGUAACAUCAAGGAAAUUGCACAUGUAUCUUUCUCUCUACUCUUUUCACAAAAUUGGUUGCUUCAAACAUAAAAAUUGUUGGCAAUACAUAUAUAAUGAUUAUAUUUUUUCCAAAUAAUGAACUCACAUGUCAGCAUACAUAUCUUGGCACUCAUUAUUUAUCCAAGAAUUUGGUGGCAUGGAUCCACUCUGGCAACAAACAGAUGCAUGGUAGGAGAAAAAUGCGAAGAGAAAAAACACGGGGCAACACAGACCUUGCCUCCUCCCUGGCCCGGCUCCCUGUCGCGAGCCUCCUUCCCCUCCUGCGCAGCUCCACCCCAUCGCAACUGGAGCGUUGCCCCGUGCUCCAACCACCGGAUGGCCAGUGAAGCUAGUUGUGCUGAGGGAGAGAGACCAUCAAUGAAGGUUUGAAGAGGAAAAACUGAGAGAAUAGAUAUGGGGAGAGGGAUCUCACCAUCUCCAGCUUCCUCGGCCUCGAGCACCUCCAUCCGGUCUCCUUCCCCAUCUCGGCCUCUAGCUCGAGCUCCGACCCACCAACGCCAGAUUCGACCCAGAAGCAGCAACGGUGGUGGAGGGGAGUAGCAGGCAGCGGUGGUGACGACCGAGGAUGAGGGAGGGGCUGUGGGGAACGAAGCGUGCGCAGCACCCCAGCAGCGGUAUGGCGCC